CCGCUGCACUCGGCCGGGCGUCACCCGCAGCCCUCAGUUGGGAGCAGCAUCCCCUUUCCAAGUGAGAACUGAACCGUGCACUCUCUGGAGUCCUUCACUACUGCUUGGCUGGCUGGGUAGUAGCUGAUGGAUGAGUGUCCUUCCUGGCCAGCCACUGUGCUGUUUCUCCUGCACUCCCAGCAGAGAAUGAGAGACCAAGGAUGUUCCAUGUGCCCCUGUGGAGCACAGCUGCACUGCCAAAUGAAGUGUCUAUGAAGAAAAUGAAGGUACAGAUGCAAACUUUGCAACUUCAGCCUGUCUCUAGUAUGUGUCUAUUGAAGGAAAAAUCCUUUGCAAAUGCAGUUAAUUGUUUGGAAUAAAAGUUGAAAGAAGUUCAAUAUAUUAAAAAGAAAGAAAAAAAUUCUUUUCAAGACCGUGAAAUUAUAGAGCAACUCUGGUAAAGCAGAAGCAGGGGUAACAUUAUAAAGGUAAGGGUUAAUUUUUUUUUUUCUUUGAACACAUAACACAUUCCUUCAAAGUUAUCCUGCUCUC
This 531-nucleotide long non-coding RNA is filed under the name Parus major (Great Tit). Its description in RNAcentral is "lncRNA (ENSPMJG00000018365.1)". Lineage: Eukaryota; Metazoa; Chordata; Aves; Passeriformes; Paridae. The record is from RNAcentral.